Vulpes vulpes (red fox) is the source of this 698-nucleotide long non-coding RNA. Lineage: Eukaryota; Metazoa; Chordata; Mammalia; Carnivora; Canidae. The record is from Ensembl.
UUUUCAGUUGUGUCGGGCAGGAUAGACCACAAGGAUGCCUCUGAUGACACUGAUCCGAGCCUUUAAAAUGUAAGCAGAAAUGCCAGUUAAGCCAUCUUAAGUCUCUAUCCUUAACCCAUCCCAUCAUCCUUAAAGAUUGCUGCAUGUGAUCCCAAUGUCAGUCCUUAAAAAGAAAACUCAAGAGCAGAGAUGGUUGAAGAUAGAAGGUUUAAUUAUGAAACUUUUAACUUUUCAAAAAAUAUUCUUUUGGAAGAGAAAAAUUUCUAUAAAUAGCCUUUUCUGUUUUAAAGUUACACUGUACCUCUGGCAAUGUUUCCUGAAACAAUUUCAGCCCAGAGCCAGCUAAUGGCUUGGGAUCAUUUCUAUAGAUCUUGGUUUGCCUUUUUGUAUGUGUGUGGCCUUCAGGGAUGUUACAGUUUGCUGUUUAGUAAAUUGACUCACAGUUUGAAAGCAUUCUUUUGUCAUUAAACACACAUGAAAAGGGGGACUCUCUCCAGGCAGAAUGCACCAUCAGAUUGAAUGGACAAAAACUUGGAACCACCAUCAGUAUUAAGAAUCCUGGACUCAUCAUCUUCAAUCUGCUCAACUUAAAAAAAAAAAAAAAUCAGAGUCAGGUUUACUGUGGCUCAUCUUUCUGUUGCAUCAUUGAUUUAGAAAUGUUGCCAAGUACAUGUAAAUACGAAAUAAAAUGAACUUGG